This 303-nucleotide ribosomal RNA is filed under the name uncultured bacterium. RNAcentral describes it as "bacterial SSU rRNA". It matches the Rfam family "Bacterial small subunit ribosomal RNA", at positions 355 to 674 of the family's 1533-position model. The record is from RNAcentral.
UCGGGAAUAUUGCGCAAUGGAGGAAACUCUGACGCAGUGACGCCGCGUGCAGGAAGAAGGUUUUCGGAUUGUAAACUGCUUUAGACAGGGAAGAAAAAAGACAGUACCUGUAGAAUAAGCUCCGGCUAACUACGUGCCAGCAGCCGCGGUAAUACGUAGGGAGCAAGCGUUAUCCGGAUUUAUUGGGUGUAAAGGGUGCGUAGACGGAGAAGCAAGUUAGUUGUGAAAUCCCUCGGCUUAACCGAGGAACUGCAACUAAAACUACUUCCCUUGAGUGCUGGAGAGGAAAGUGGAAUUCCUAGU